RNAcentral lists this ribosomal RNA (253 nucleotides) under uncultured bacterium. RNAcentral describes it as "partial 16S ribosomal RNA". It matches the Rfam family "Bacterial small subunit ribosomal RNA", at positions 524 to 776 of the family's 1533-position model. The record is from RNAcentral.
UACGUAGGUGACAAGCGUUAUCCGGAAUUACUGGGCGUAAAGCGCACGCAGGCGGCUGAGUAAGUCUGACGUGAAAUCUCCCGGCUUAACCGGGAGCGGUCGUUGGAAACUACUUGGCUUGAGGCGAUGAGAGGGGUGUGGAAUUCCCGGUGUAGUGGUGGAAUGCGUAGAUAUCGGGAGGAACAUCAGUGGCGAAAGCGGCACCCUGGCAUUAGCCUGACGCUCAGGUGCGAAAGCGUGGGGAGCGAACGGG